UUAAACGAGGAAGGAUUUGACUGAUUGCAAACCUCGAAAAAAAAAAUUGCUAAAGCAGUGUUG
Molecule: non-coding RNA, 63 nt
Filed under: unclassified sequences
Also listed under: 1 other name
Source: RNAcentral